UCCGGCUUAUCACCGGCAGUUUCCUCAGAGUUCCCAGCAUUACCUGUUGGCAACAGAGGACGAGGGUUGCGCUCGUUGCGGGACUUAACCCAACAUCUCACGACACGAGCUGACGACAGCCAUGCAGCACCUGUGCUCCUCCCACCCGAAGUGAAGGACCCUAUUUCUAAGGUCCACAGAGGGCAUGUCAAAGCCUGGUAAGGUUCUUCGCGUUGCCUCGAAUUAAACCACAUGUUCCACCGCUUGUGCGGGUCCCCGUCAAUUCCUUUGAGUUUUAAUCUUGCGACCGUACUCCCCAGGCGGGAUGCUUAACGCGUUAGCUACGCCACCAAAGGGGAACCCCCUGACGGCUAGCAUCCAUCGUUUACAGCGUGGACUAC
This 380-nucleotide unclassified non-coding RNA is filed under the name uncultured Rickettsiales bacterium. RNAcentral's name for it is "contains 16S-23S intergenic spacer region". Lineage: Bacteria; Pseudomonadati; Pseudomonadota; Alphaproteobacteria; Rickettsiales. The record is from RNAcentral.